CCGCACGGGUGAGUAACACGUAUCCAACCUGCCGUCUACUCUUGGACAGCCUUCUGAAAGGAAGAUUAAUACAAGAUGGCAUCAUGAGUCCGCAUGUUCACAUGAUUAAAGGUAUUCCGGUAGACGAUGGGGAUGCGUUCCAUUAGAUAGUAGGCGGGGUAACGGCCCACCUAGUCUUCGAUGGAUAGGGGUUCUGAGAGGAAGGUCCCCCACAUUGGAACUAAGACACGGUCCAA
RNAcentral lists this ribosomal RNA (236 nucleotides) under uncultured bacterium. RNAcentral describes it as "partial 16S ribosomal RNA". It matches the Rfam family "Bacterial small subunit ribosomal RNA", at positions 98 to 334 of the family's 1533-position model. The record is from RNAcentral.